This 1280-nucleotide long non-coding RNA is filed under the name Helianthus annuus (common sunflower). Its description in RNAcentral is "hypothetical non coding rna". The record is from RNAcentral. Lineage: Eukaryota; Viridiplantae; Streptophyta; Magnoliopsida; Asterales; Asteraceae.
CACUACAACAUCUUCUCAAACAAGAAUCACACAUCACUCCACCAUCCUCUCUCCCCCCUUCGAUUGACUGAGCGGCCGGCCACCACCACCGUCUGGUGGUGGCGCGGCGACUAGAUGAGAGAGACGAAAAGAGAGAGAGAGAGAGUCGCAGGAGUCAGAAGGGCGGCUGCACAGCGGCGCCGCCGCUGCGGCGGCGGUGAUGGAGGUGACGACGGCGGUAUUUUUUUCGGCGGAGAGAAGCUCCGGCCGUCGGAGUUCGAUGAAGACAGAAGUCUGGUGAUUUCAUAUAGUUUUGGCUCAGAUUCAAGUAAAAGGUUAUAAACUCACGUUUUGGGGUUACGUCUCAGGUUCGGGUCAACAAUUUCUGUUCGGGAUUGAGUUUUGGUUCUGGUUCGAGUCAACUCGGUUCGGGUCCGGGUCAUACAGUUAAGGCAGUCAACAAGUCAGCGGGUACGGGUCCAAAGCAGUGAACGGUUCGGGUCACGGGUUGGUUCAACUCGGUCAAACCGAGUCAACUCAGUCAACAGACGGUCAACAGACGGUCAACAGAAGUCAACGAAAGACCCGGAAUACUAUAGAUGCACGCUAGCUAAUUCACGUUCUUGGAAUGACACUUUGGAAUCACGCUAAGCUAGCUUUGCACAAGAAGGUCAAGGUUGCAUUUUCAAAACUAUGGAACGGUUGGAAUAGGAGAACCCACGGGAUUUCGAGUACUUAGCGGGCGUUCAUUGUUUAGAAGUCUGAGCUUUUUGCUUCCGCUGUGCAAUGAAGAUACCGGUCCAGUCACGCCAGCUCUGAUAUUUCGGGGUGUGACAAUCAGAUCAUUCAAGAUCUGAUCCAAACGUACAAGCCACUCGCACAAGCGGACCAGCCGCACAAGCUGAUCUAAUCGCACAAAGCACUUAGUUGCACAAGCCCUCCAAUCGCACAACUAGGACUGGAUCGCACAAGAUUGCUUUGCUCAUUUGUUGUUUGGGCCGGGUAUUCUAGUUGGGCUGGGCUAUUCAAAUCGUACAAGCCUAGGUCACGUCGCACAAAUGGGCAUGUUGUUUAACUGUUGGGCCGAAUGAUAUUUGGGCUGGAUAUGUUGUACCGUUCACUUAUGUUAUUUGGGCCGGGACUAUGCGGAUCGCACAACAUGUUGUGGAUCGCACAACAUGUUGGGCCAGAUAUUAUUGGGCUGAUUUUAAUUGCACAAGUUAAAUGGAAUAUUAACUGUUAAAGUGUACUUGAUUGAAUACGUGUUAACUCUAUGAUACAUACGUGCAAUACUUGAACAC